Cyanistes caeruleus (blue tit) is the source of this 636-nucleotide long non-coding RNA. RefSeq lists it as uncharacterized. The record is from RefSeq and is a predicted model, not a curated record. NCBI's taxonomy places the organism in Eukaryota, Metazoa, Chordata, Aves, Passeriformes, Paridae.
AAGCAACAGUCAGCUUAUCCAGCUUGCUUUUGAGGACUUCAGCCAUCUCUCAAGAACUGGCAAGAACAGGAGACGAGCAACGGGAGAAGAAGCCAUGAAUCUGUUGGAGUAGAGUGAAUCCCGUCCUUGUGCCGUGGCCCCAGAGGAGAACAUGAAAACCACAGCAGAGUCUCACCCUUGGCUGAGCUGGUCCAUCCCCUGCUGCACCAGCAGCAUUGAGCAAUCCACAGGCUGUGCAGGAUUUCCCUGCUCCUUUUGCAACUUUUAGUUCUGAAGGUUUUACAGAUUUCCAGCAGCAAGGUGGGAGGCUUCAAAGUCUGGUCACCAGGCCAAAGUGGUCGUUUUUUCAUGUGGAUUGCAAAAAUCACUCUUAGAACAAAGACUCAAGUUCUCCAGACAAGCUUAAAUCCAUGCUAAAAUAUAUGAGGUUAAUAAGAGCAUGUAUCCCAGCAGGUUACCCAGAUUUUAUUUGUUUUCCAGCACAGACACAACAGUGUGUUUUUCCCUGAUCCAGAUCACUGAAUUGCUUUAGUGCAGAGCUUUUCCAAAAAGCAUUCAGCUUGCGGUAUGUGGUUGGCACAGCAAAUUUCAGCUGGAGCUAGACAGGAGAAGUUUGGCAAAGUUACAGGCAAUUGA